GGAGACAUGGCUUAAAAGGCAAAGUACUUGCCUAGCAAGCAAGGGCAAGACCUUGAGUUCAAACCCCAGUGACACCA
Molecule: transfer RNA, 77 nt
Filed under: Dipodomys ordii (Ord's kangaroo rat)
Lineage: Eukaryota; Metazoa; Chordata; Mammalia; Rodentia; Heteromyidae
Rfam family: tRNA
About the family: Transfer RNA (tRNA) molecules are approximately 80 nucleotides in length.
Source: Rfam by way of RNAcentral